Molecule: ribosomal RNA, 525 nt
Filed under: uncultured bacterium
Lineage: Bacteria
Description: bacterial SSU rRNA
Rfam family: Bacterial small subunit ribosomal RNA
Source: RNAcentral
GGUUCAGGACGAACGCUGGCGGCGUGCCUAAUACAUGCAAGUCGAACGGUCUUUCUAUGGAAGCUUGCUUCCACUGAGAAGAUAGUGGCGAACGGGUGAGUAACACGUGGGUAACCUGCCCAUAAGAGGGGGAUAACAUCCGGAAACGGGUGCUAAUACCGCAUAGUUUUCUUGAUCGCAUGAUCGGGAAAGGAAAGACGGCCUUUGUGCUGUCGCUUAUGGAUGGACCCGCGGCGUAUUAGUUAGUUGGUGAGGUAACGGCUCACCAAGACGAUGAUACGUAGCCGACCUGAGAGGGUGAUCGGCCACAUUGGGACUGAGACACGGCCCAAACUCCUACGGGAGGCAGCAGUAGGGAAUCUUCCGCAAUGGACGAAAGUCUGACGGAGCAACGCCGCGUGAGUGAAGAAAGGGUUUUCGGAUCGUAAAACUCUGUUGUCAGAGAAGAACAAGUUGGAGAGUAACUGCUCCAGCCUUGACGGUAUCUGACCAGAAAGCCACGGCUAACUACGUGCCAGCCGCAGC